RNAcentral lists this long non-coding RNA (227 nucleotides) under Lathyrus oleraceus (garden pea). Its description in RNAcentral is "Pisum sativum (pea) long non-coding RNA (PSAT_LNC020702)". The record is from RNAcentral. Lineage: Eukaryota; Viridiplantae; Streptophyta; Magnoliopsida; Fabales; Fabaceae.
AAUAAAUGGGGAAGGUAAAAAGUUUAAGGGGGUGUAACGUUCGUCUCCAACGGCUCCUUAACGUUCACCUAGUCUGAAGGGCGUUACGCUCGUUACAGGUGCAUGACGGACGUCACAGGUACUUAGCGUGACGUCCGUGACAGACUGUGUGACGCUCGUCACACUGUCUGUUUGGCAAGGUUUCAGCUAGCGUCCUUCAGAGUGACUGGUAAGUUAUUAUAUAUUAU